Fructobacillus sp. EFB-N1 is the source of this 153-nucleotide non-coding RNA. The record is from Rfam. NCBI's taxonomy places the organism in Bacteria, Bacillati, Bacillota, Bacilli, Lactobacillales, Lactobacillaceae.
AUAAGUAAUAGAGGUCGCAACCAACAAGAGUACCGAACAUUGUUCGCGAAAGGGGCGGUUGCCGAAGCUGAUGGGGUCAGAGCCAUUUCGCUGGGCCAAUAGUUAAGAGCUAUUGGACUGUCGCUGCAAAUGCAGCGGGGAGCUAUUCAACUG